UCUCUGGUAGUAUAUCGGUUAGUACACGCGCCUGUCAUAUGUGUAUAUGCACUUGGCACAUGAGCGCGCGAAAGCGGGGUUCGACUCCCCGCCAGAGAG
This is a non-coding RNA of Fomitopsis betulina (razor strop fungus), 99 nucleotides long. NCBI's taxonomy places the organism in Eukaryota, Fungi, Basidiomycota, Agaricomycetes, Polyporales, Fomitopsidaceae. The record is from the annotation of a GenBank genome assembly.